RNAcentral lists this ribosomal RNA (254 nucleotides) under uncultured bacterium. RNAcentral's name for it is "partial 16S ribosomal RNA". It matches the Rfam family "Bacterial small subunit ribosomal RNA", at positions 524 to 776 of the family's 1533-position model. The record is from RNAcentral.
UACGUAGGGGGCAAGCGUUGUCCGGAUUUAUUGGGCGUAAAGAGCGUGUAGGCGGUCAGGUAGGUCGGUUGUGAAAACUGGAGGCUCAACCUUCAGAGGUCGACCGAAACCCCCUGGCUAGAGUCCGGGAGAGGAGAGUGGAAUUCCUGGUGUAGCGGUGAAAUGCGCAGAUAUCAGGAAGAACACCCGUGGCGAAAGCGGCUCUCUGGAACGGUACUGACGCUGAGACGCGAAAGCGUGGGGAGCGAAACAGG